This 225-nucleotide long non-coding RNA is filed under the name Elaeis guineensis (African oil palm). RNAcentral describes it as "long non-coding RNA (EGUI_LNC036844)". Lineage: Eukaryota; Viridiplantae; Streptophyta; Magnoliopsida; Arecales; Arecaceae. The record is from RNAcentral.
GAGGGAGUUCUAUUUUGUUAGCUGCUCAGGGAUCAAGCCCAUUCAUACAAAGGCGUCGUAAAAUAAGAUAUCCAUGAAACUUCCGUUAUCAACCAAAACAUGGUGUACAUCAUAAUUUGAAACAUUGAGAGAUAAGAAUAGGAUCAUCGUGUAGAUAUUUUAUUCCAUCUAGGUCAGCCUCAGAGAAAAUAAUUUUAUCCCUGACCUUUCUCUUCUUUGGCUCCU